GGGGAUUUAGCUCAGUGGUAGAGCCCUUGCCUAGGAAGCGCAAGGCCCUGGGUUCGGUUCCCAGCUCCG
This 69-nucleotide transfer RNA is filed under the name Rattus norvegicus (Norway rat). It matches the Rfam family "tRNA". Rfam says of the family: Transfer RNA (tRNA) molecules are approximately 80 nucleotides in length. Their secondary structure includes four short double-helical elements and three loops (D, anti-codon, and T loops). Further hydrogen bonds mediate the characteristic L-shaped molecular structure. tRNAs have two regions of fundamental functional importance: the anti-codon, which is responsible for specific mRNA codon recognition, and the 3' end, to which the tRNAs corresponding amino acid is attached (by aminoacyl-tRNA synthetases). tRNAs cope with the degeneracy of the genetic code in two manners: having more than one tRNA (with a specific anti-codon) for a particular amino acid; and 'wobble' base-pairing, i.e. permitting non-standard base-pairing at the 3rd anti-codon position. Lineage: Eukaryota; Metazoa; Chordata; Mammalia; Rodentia; Muridae. The record is from Rfam by way of RNAcentral.